This 3378-nucleotide long non-coding RNA is filed under the name Malus domestica (apple). RNAcentral describes it as "long non-coding RNA (MDOM_LNC020793)". The record is from RNAcentral. Lineage: Eukaryota; Viridiplantae; Streptophyta; Magnoliopsida; Rosales; Rosaceae.
UACUCUCAAUCACAUCAUUAGGGUAUGGAUAUUAUGUCAAACCCCUAAUGUGAUUAUUCCUUCAUAUAUGAUUCAUUUGAGUCGUAUAGGAACACUUUCCUUUUAAUACGCUCGAUACUUCGGCCGAAGAUUCCCGAAUCAUAUCUUAGAGUAUUCUUCCUCUCUUAUCGAGGAUUAGAGAUUCCUUGUUGCGCAUACACUUGCUUUCAUGACUAAGUGGCUUAACCCCAAUCAUGCCGUGGACACCCUCGAAUGGGGAGACUUUGACAUAAUCAAAGAUUAAGUACUUAACCACAAGACAACGACGAUGCCUCAGGUCUAAGGAUUACUUACAUUAUUCCAACCAUUAGAGUUACUUGCUUGACAUGUGAGUAGACCUCCAUGCAAGUACUCUCGUUCGAUUGUGUUCAGUGAACUCAUUCCCCUAAUGAGCACCUACAUACUUGUCUUAGUGUCACAACACGAAUGGGAUGAGACUUUCCAUCCUUCCAUUUGAAGCAGACAUAGUAUGUACUGGUCUAAGCAUUGUCAGUUUCCCUCCGACAAUCCAAUGACCAGGAACCUUUUGGACAUCUGGUUAUAUGAAGAAGGUCUCUGUAGUCUAACAUCAUUAGAUUACUUCUUCAAUCGAUCCAUUGUCCAUGGAUACACUAUUAAGGACAUAUUUCGUCUAUUGAGAUAGUCCUAAUUCGUGUCUUUGCCUUUGAUGUAUAAGAUUCAUCCAUACAUUCAUUUAUUUGUCCUGAAAGAUUUCUUCCAAAGAUUGACUUUCAGGGCAUAUUUCCAACAAUCUCCCACUUGCACUAAAGUCAAUCACUAGUGUAUCUUAUACAUCUUGUCGAGAGAGUUUAUGCUCGUAGGUUAACUUGGUUAUGUAUUAAUCCCUUUUCAUUUAAAAGGAUUUACUUAUCAAAUGUUUCCAAAACAUUUGAUGAUGUCUCUUUAUUGUGUUCGAAUACUUUGAUGAGACCUUGAUUCCAUGGCUUGAGCUAUCGCCCCAUUACGUCGUAGUACACUACUAACGACCUUAUGGUUUGGAUUCAAUCAUUGAUUCUAAAAGAACCCCUUCCAUUCAAAACACCUUUUGAAGCAGUUUCUAAAACUAUAUAUCUACAUAUAUUUCGUUUGUAUACUUUAUACAAACUUUGCUCCAAGCUUGAGACCAUUGUAGUACAAUACUAACAAUUCAUUUAUAUGAUUAGUACUUCAUCCAUUAUGAAGUUCCAUUUGUUAAAAUGGUUUAUUUUUCACUUUGGUUAACAACCUAAGUGAAUGCACGCUUCCAGAGUCCCACUCUGAUGUUUCUUUCUUAAAGGCAAUAAUACUCUAUCAGUUGCAUUGGUUCUGAUCCUGGGAUAUAGUAAUAUCUAAAGUGACAACCCAUGUGGUUCUUCACCUUUGGAUAUCUACUUCACAAGUCCAUACAUGUGUCCCUUUUGUGAUUUUAUGACACAUUCAUUAUAAGGGUUAUGAAAGUUAUUUCCUAUCACAUAGGAAAAUGCUUUCUUAAAUCUACAACAUUUGAGAUUUAUCUACCAUAUAACAUUAUUGUGAUAGCCUUGCUAUAUCAAUAAGUCCAAUUUCAAGUCUAUACUUCAAAAUUGACCGUGUCAUGUAUUGUCAUUUUUCAAGUAACAUCUAUGUUUUAUUAAGUCUAUCAAAUAGACUUUAUUCACAUCUUGUUGCUCAAAUUAUGACAUCACUCCCACUGGCCUUGUUGUAACUUAGCAUUCAUUCAAAAAUAACAAUUAUAUUUUCUUGAUUUGAAUGCAUAUUGCUCCCACUAACUUAAAUGAAUCAUACACAAAAGAAUUCCUUCUCAAGUAAUUCCAUGAAAUGUGUAUGACUUGCUUUAUCAAGUCAAUCCAUUUAAAUUAUAUGGUGUCAUACACCAUACUUCAAGUUUUAGUCAUACUAAGACCUUUAAUGUAGUCAUAUAAGAAUUAUCCAAGUCUUUAGUGAAGCAUGGCUCCUAGAAACUCAACCAUUCCUUCUAGGUGGUUGAUAUAAUUCUUUAUCAAAACUACAUAGAGCAAUAUCGUUACAUGAGAUGUUGAAUUUGGAUUGUCUUAUUGUUAAACCAUAUGUUGUGACUCAUUUUGAAAUUUAUUCCCUUUUGUUUCAUCAACUUGUCCAUAUGCAUUGUUUAUUAGCUUGUUCUCAUAAAAGAGAAUGAUGGACAACUCCCAACAUAUAACCAUUUUAUGUUAGGUUGACGAAACCAUCAUUCAAAGACUAUUCUUUAAAUGUCUCACAACAUAGAAUUUUAACGUUUGAAGAGCUUGAGUCCUUUUAACAAUUAAAAUUACAAACUCUUAAUAAUAGUCAAGUACUAUUAUUCUUUAGACAACUAUAAACCAAUCCCAUUCAAGUUUAUAUCCAUUUUCACACCUCCCACUAUUUCUCAUGACUUUAAUGAGAAAUCAUUUCAUACAUCCAAAAUGUAUAAAAGUGGAUUAUAUUGGAAGAAGACAUUGUGUAGUAGCUUUAAAACAUUUCAAGCUUAUUUGUUUCAAUCUUCACUAAGUUAAUGUCUUGUUAUUUAAGUGACUAAAGUCUUUAAACAAUUUAUAGAUUUAGACACUUCUUUCUUGGUUUUAGUCACUAACACAAUUGACAUUUUAAAACAAUUUUAAGAAUGCCCAAUUAAUUGUUCAAAACUACUAAUUGAAUCAAGAGUGAUCUUGAUCAUUGUGUUUCAAGUGAUAACCAUAUAAGAAACAAUUUUCUUUCUUAUUACUUAUAUCAUUAUAAUGUGAUCUUCCUUUUCUUCAAGAAAGGAUUCUCUAGACUUUUGUCAAUUCAUAUAGAACUCAUAAGUAGACAAAUGGAACCGAAUCUAAAGAUUCAUUGUAUCCUUUUAUGUCCUACAUGUGAGAUCUAUCCAUAAUUGAUAAAUCUAAAGUUUGGUUAUCACAUUACAAUAAGUGAUAUAACUCUGUAUCUCAUCUAGGAUACAACAAGACAAUUUUCAAUUCAUAACACUACUUUAAGGAAAAAGGCAUAUUUCACAUUACAUUAAUAUGAUAGUUCAAACAUUCAUAAUGUUUAAUACAAAAAGUAUUAGCUCUAUACAUUUAGAGACUAAUAGAAAUAGCUUUAUACAUUUAGACAUUAAUAGUGGUCAUCCAUCAUAUGAAGCCACAUAAUAAGUUCUUAUCAUAAUAAGAAAGUUUUAAAGACAAUCUUUAAUGCCUAACAAAACUUCCUAAGUAGUGAGCAAAAAACAUAGUGGCUGAACCCUUCACCAUAUUUUCUUUGCUUGUUCUUCUUCUACUUGGUUUCUCCACCUAUAUACAAUUAUACAAGUGAUUAGCCCUUUAUAUCAAAUAUAAAUAUUUAGAAGAUCUAACAUUUAGAAUUGAAGAUAAGGACAUA